CUGGCCGUAAACGAUGGAUACUAGGCGUAGUGGGUAUCGACCCCUACUGUGCCGCAGCUAACGCGAUAAGUAUCCCGCCUGAGUANACGCGAAGAACCUUACCAGGGCUUGACAUGUCAGGAAUCUUACGGAAACGUAGGAGUGCUCGCAAGAGAACCUGAACACAGGUGG
Molecule: ribosomal RNA, 171 nt
Filed under: uncultured bacterium
Lineage: Bacteria
Description: partial 16S ribosomal RNA
Rfam family: Bacterial small subunit ribosomal RNA
Source: RNAcentral